Molecule: long non-coding RNA, 1161 nt
Filed under: Triticum aestivum (bread wheat)
Lineage: Eukaryota; Viridiplantae; Streptophyta; Magnoliopsida; Poales; Poaceae
Description: long non-coding RNA (TAES_LNC025320)
Source: RNAcentral
AUUUUUUAUUACACUAGCUUGAUAUUGUUCUUAAAUUUUCAUAGUCUACCUAUCUGUUUUUUAUAUGUUAAUUAUGUUUUUGAAUUGAUAACUACAACAUCUAUUUUGUUAACUUAUUAUAAGAGCCUAAGUAUGCAUGUAGUGUACAUUUAUAUCUCCCCAAUGUUUUUGCUGCUACAAGUUUAGUUCUCCCUACUUGCAAAUUUUACGGAGGUGUUGUGCCUUAGCCGUUUUCAAUCAGUUUGUAAUUGAACUAGGGGGUAGAUGCUACGUUUAACUUUUCUAAUUAUGUAGACAUGCUAUUUGUACUAUUUUUUUUCAUAUGUUGCUCUUAACCAACAAUUGCAAGUUUAGAUUUAUGUAUAUGCAAGUUUAGUUCGUAUGAAGAAAUUUUUUAAUCUCUGAUUUUAGGGUGGUUUUCUGCUCUACUUGUAGUUCGACAACUUGUAUUACAAACAGGCGCAAUUUUACUUCUUAUGAUUAAAUUUUCAAUUUCUGCCUUUAGGUGGGUGUUCUGCCUUUCUUGUAGUUCAACAUUUUUUGUACAAGUACAAACAUGUUAUUUUUUAGUGUAGUAUGAAUUUGUAUUGUUCAAUUCUCUGAAUUUCUGACAGCAAAUGUACAUUCAAGUGUUCACGCUAUUUUUUUCUAUUUCUGGUUACAUCAUUUUUUUGCUGGGCACUAAAGAGAUAGAAUAUAACUUUUCUAAUUAUGUGUUGUUGUUGAACAACUACUACAAGUUUAGUUCUCCCUACUUGCAAAAUUUACCGAGGUGUUCUGCCUUAGCUGUUUUCAAACAUUUUGUAAUUGAACUAGGGGGGUAGAUGUUACGUUUAACUUUUCUAAUUAUGUAGACAUGCUAUUUGCACUAUUUUUUUAUGUUGCUCUUGACCAACAAUUGCAAGUUCAGAUUUAUGUAUAUGCAAGUUUAGUUCAUAUGAAGAAAUUUUUUAAAUUCUGAUUUUAGGGUGGUGUUCUGCUCUACUUAUUCAACAACUUGUAUUACAAACAGGCGCAAUUUUACUUCUUAUGAUUAAACUUUCAAUUUCUGCCUUUAGGUGGGUGUUCUGCUUUUCUUGUAGUUCAACAUCUUUUAGUACAAGUACAAACAUGUUGUUUUUAGUCAUAAGUUAUAGUAUGAAUUUGUAUUGUUCAAUUGUU